This 468-nucleotide ribosomal RNA is filed under the name uncultured bacterium. RNAcentral describes it as "partial 16S ribosomal RNA". It matches the Rfam family "Bacterial small subunit ribosomal RNA", at positions 28 to 507 of the family's 1533-position model. The record is from RNAcentral.
GACGAACGCUGGCGGCGUGCUUAACACAUGCAAGUCGAACGGAAAGGCCCUGCUUUUGUGGGGUGCUCGAGUGGCGAACGGGUGAGUAACACGUGAGUAACCUGCCCUUGACUUUGGGAUAACUUCAGGAAACUGGGGCUAAUACCGGAUAGGAGCUCCUGCUGCAUGGUGGGGGUUGGAAAGUUUCGGCGGUUGGGGAUGGACUCGCGGCUUAUCAGCUUGUUGGUGGGGUAGUGGCUUACCAAGGCUUUGACGGGUAGCUGGCCUGAGAGGGUGACCGGCCACAUUGGGACUGAGAUACGGCCCAGACUCCUACGGGAGGCAGCAGUGGGGAAUAUUGCACAAUGGGCGGAAGCCUGAUGCAGCAACGCCGCGUGCGGGAUGACGGCCUUCGGGUUGUAAACCGCUUUCGCCUGUGACGAAGAGUGAGUGACGGUAAUGGGUAAAGAAGCACCGGCUAACUACGUG